AUAGUGACUGAUAGAGAGCAGCAGUCUCAGCUGUAAAAAUAGAGUCCCCAGGGAAUACUGAUAGCCUUUUUCCAAUAAAGCGAAAUCUAUUUGCAAUAAUAGGUAUAUGCAAAGACCUCCUGAAAUUACAGGAGCAAACUCCUUCCGCAUCUCGACCUAAUUAAGAUCCGUUACUCAACAGUGAUCAGUCAGAUUUUACUGUAAGAAGGAAGAAAACAAGGAUCCUGCUAGAACAACAUGGAAACAGGCUGAUCUUAGGACCUACAACAAAGAGAUUUCUCACUGGCUUCCUGGUGGUUCAUUCAAUAGGGAAUUCCUGCAGCAAGUUGGAGGGAGGGAGGAGAAGCAGGGAGGCCACCUCCUGUCAAAGCUGGGACAUCUGAGAGACAGUGGUCACACAACAACUCAACUGCAUGUGCACCUAAAACAGUAGCUUAUUUUCUCUGACUGUUUCUUCUUCUUCUUCUUCUACUCCUUAUUCUUAUUCUUCUUUCUGAUUUACCAACCUACUGGGUAUCAGUGCAAAAAAUUAUUUUACUUGCGAAUUAAUGAUAUCACCACGUUUUCUUGCUUAAACUGUCUUUUUAGGUUAGCUCAGCUACUCUGGGCUAAACAUUCAGUCUUUCAGAUAUACUCCACUUACCUUAGCUCCUCCCAUGGUGGUUCCGGGGUUGGAGAGGCUUACGUGACCUUAUGGUAGCAGGGCAGAGGCAGGGCUAUGCUGCUCAUGGGGCAUUCUGUAAAAGUAAGAUGUGUCUUCCUUAUGAUACCUUCCUUCCAGUUGUUGGAAAGUUGUCGUGCUGCUUUUAUUAGAGCAAGCAUCUUGUUGCCAUAUGCUUUAAAAUGGACAUAAUAAAUGUGCAAAUCUUCAA
Molecule: long non-coding RNA, 872 nt
Filed under: Homo sapiens (human)
Lineage: Eukaryota; Metazoa; Chordata; Mammalia; Primates; Hominidae
Description: long intergenic non-protein coding RNA 1147
Source: RNAcentral